ACUUAAAUUGAAGAGUUUGAUCAUGGCUCAGAUUGAACGCUGGCGGCAGGCCUAACACAUGCAAGUCGAGCGGUAGCACAGAGAGCUUGCUCUCGGGUGACGAGCGGCGGACGGGUGAGUAAUGUCUGGGAAACUGCCUGAUGGAGGGGGAUAACUACUGGAAACGGUAGCUAAUACCGCAUAAUGUCGCAAGACCAAAGUGGGGGACCUUCGGGCCUCAUGCCAUCAGAUGUGCCCAGAUGGGAUUAGCUAGUAGGUGGGGUAACGGCUCACCUAGGCGACGAUCCCUAGCUGGUCUGAGAGGAUGACCAGCCACACUGGAACUGAGACACGGUCCAGACUCCUACGGGAGGCAGCAGUGGGGAAUAUUGCACAAUGGGCGCAAGCCUGAUGCAGCCAUGCCGCGUGUGUGAAGAAGGCCUUCGGGUUGUAAAGCACUUUCAGCGGGGAGGAAGGCGAUAAGGUUAAUAACCUCAUCGAUUGACGUUACCCGCAGAAGAAGCACCGGCUAACUCCGUGCCAGCAGCCGCGGUAAUACGGAGGGUGCAAGCGUUAAUCGGAAUUACUGGGCGUAAAGCGCACGCAGGCGGUCUGUCAAGUCGGAUGUGAAAUCCCCGGGCUCAACCUGGGAACUGCAUUCGAAACUGGCAGGCUAGAGUCUUGUAGAGGGGGGUAGAAUUCCAGGUGUAGCGGUGAAAUGCGUAGAGAUCUGGAGGAAUACCGGUGGCGAAGGCGGCCCCCUGGACAAAGACUGACGCUCAGGUGCGAAAGCGUGGGGAGCAAACAGGAUUAGAUACCCUGGUAGUCCACGCCGUAAACGAUGUCGAUUUGGAGGUUGUGCCCUUGAGGCGUGGCUUCCGGAGCUAACGCGUUAAAUCGACCGCCUGGGGAGUACGGCCGCAAGGUUAAAACUCAAAUGAAUUGACGGGGGCCCGCACAAGCGGUGGAGCAUGUGGUUUAAUUCGAUGCAACGCGAAGAACCUUACCUGGUCUUGACAUCCACAGAACUUAGCAGAGAUGCUUUGGUGCCUUCGGGAACUGUGAGACAGGUGCUGCAUGGCUGUCGUCAGCUCGUGUUGUGAAAUGUUGGGUUAAGUCCCGCAACGAGCGCAACCCUUAUCCUUUGUUGCCAGCGGUUAGGCCGGGAACUCAAAGGAGACUGCCAGUGAUAAACUGGAGGAAGGUGGGGAUGACGUCAAGUCAUCAUGGCCCUUACGACCAGGGCUACACACGUGCUACAAUGGCAUAUACAAAGAGAAGCGACCUCGCGAGAGCAAGCGGACCUCAUAAAGUAUGUCGUAGUCCGGAUUGGAGUCUGCAACUCGACUCCAUGAAGUCGGAAUCGCUAGUAAUCGUAGAUCAGAAUGCUACGGUGAAUACGUUCCCGGGCCUUGUACACACCGCCCGUCACACCAUGGGAGUGGGUUGCAAAAGAAGUAGGUAGCUUAACCUUCGGGAGGGCGCUUACCACUUUGUGAUUCAUGACUGGGGUGAAGUCGUAACAAGGUAACCGUAGGGGAACCUGCGGUUGGAUCACCUCCUUACCUUAAAGAA
Molecule: ribosomal RNA, 1554 nt
Filed under: Klebsiella pneumoniae
Lineage: Bacteria; Pseudomonadati; Pseudomonadota; Gammaproteobacteria; Enterobacterales; Enterobacteriaceae
Description: bacterial SSU rRNA
Rfam family: Bacterial small subunit ribosomal RNA
Source: RNAcentral